CACGCCGUAAACGAUGAGUGCUAAGUGUUAGGGGGUUUCCGCCCCUUAGUGCUGCAGCAAACGCAUUAAGCACUCCGCCUGGGGAGUACGGUCGCAAGACUGAAACUCAAAGGAAUUGACGGGGGCCCGCACAAGCGGUGGAGCAUGUGGUUUAAUUCGAAGCAACGCGAAGAACCUUACCAGGUCUUGACAUCCCGUUGACCGCUAUGGAGACAUAGCUUUCCCUUCGGGGACAAUGGUGACAGGUGG
RNAcentral lists this ribosomal RNA (249 nucleotides) under uncultured Caryophanaceae bacterium. RNAcentral describes it as "uncultured Planococcaceae bacterium partial 16S ribosomal RNA". It matches the Rfam family "Bacterial small subunit ribosomal RNA", at positions 796 to 1041 of the family's 1533-position model. The record is from RNAcentral. Lineage: Bacteria; Bacillati; Bacillota; Bacilli; Caryophanales; Caryophanaceae.